Nymphaea colorata (pocket water lily) is the source of this 721-nucleotide long non-coding RNA. RefSeq lists it as uncharacterized. NCBI's taxonomy places the organism in Eukaryota, Viridiplantae, Streptophyta, Magnoliopsida, Nymphaeales, Nymphaeaceae. The transcript has 2 exons. The record is from RefSeq and is a predicted model, not a curated record.
UGAAGCUCCAAACACAGAGGAACUCCGUCUCCCUCUCUCUCACUCUCCCCCUCUCUCUAGUUGAGGGGACUGUUGUCUGGUUCGAGACCAUUCAUGUUCAACAAAUGACAUGGAUGAUCUCGGACCAGGCUUCAUUCCCCCCAACAUGUUCAGGAACUAAGAUCAGUGAGUUCUGAUCAGGUUUCAUUCUCCUCAACUAGCGAAAAUUUUUCAGCAAUAUCCAUAGUGGCAGAGCUCUCUCCUUCAAUGCCUUCCCUUGUUAAAGAAUUCCUGUGGGUCUUAUUAUUUCAUUUCUAGCAGACUGCAGGUAAUAGCAAAGUCUCUUUUUAUUGUUUUUGCAAUGUAUUUCAACUUGUCCUUAACAAAGUAUGUGCAAUUUCAAUUCUUGUUCUGUACAAAUCCUGUCGAGGGGAGUUAAUUACAUCAAAAGCAUCCUAUGUGCGCAAAAAAUCUACCUAUGAUGAAGAAAGUUCUACCAAACACUGGAAAUGUUGCCUAAAAGCCUGGAUUUUCAGACUUCUGGAUAUUUCUGGUCAUGCUGUAAGUUAUGUUGGAAACAACUUUCUUUUGCCUCUUUGUGUACUGUCAACCAAGAAGGCUUCUGCUUUUUCCACUUUGACUGUUACCAUUGUGCUGCCUACUAACUUUCAUUUUAUUUUCUUCUCCUACCACCUUAUUGUUUAUGGAAUCAAUCUCAAUAAGAGCCUAGUCUUGAAUGGUA